AUAUCUACAAAUAUUAUUGACUAAUGGAGGGAGGUAAUAAAAUAUUCACUCAAACAAUUUAAUUUUUUAAGUGUGGAUUUCACUUUUUAAUGAUUAAAUCCAUAUUUUGUAUAGUUAUUCAAUGAUUCAUAUCCAAUGUAGAUAAAAGAAGGUUAAAACCACUUAGGCGUCCCUGUUUUCGUAAGGUCUUCUCAUUUUGGUCCCGUUCUUAUAAAACUUCCCAAUUAGGUCCUCAAAAGUGCUAAUUUGAAGCAAUUCAGUCCCUACCGUUAAAAAUCGUUAACGGCCGUUUAAAUAUUAAUGACGUGACAUUAUAAAUUAAUUUUAUAUGAAUAAUUAUUAAUAAAUAUUUGUGUGACCAGAAUUUUAGAAGGGUAAAUUUGGAAUAGAAAAUAAUUUCUUCUUCCUUGGGUUCCUUCUGAUCCUAAGCUGUGAACUACCCAAACAUAGCUCCCACUUCAUCUUCUUCCUCCGCAAAAGCCAAAGUUCAUCUUCUUCCUCAAACCAACCCCAAAACAGAAAUUUGCAUAUCUCAGAAUUUCAAUCUUUUUCCUCAGACCGAACAAAAAUAAUCAAAUCCUUUAUAAAACCCUAAUUUCGAUCUUUUUCCCCAAUUCAAUUUGGGAUUUUUCUUAUCCUUUCCGACUUGGUUUGGUCUGCUUACAGGGGAACCAUUCUUCUUCCCCUUCGUUUUCCUCUUCUAGGUCUCUUGGUCAAGCCGUAGAGCCUGCCACUCUUUGUCAAGCCCGCCACCGUCACAGUAGAGCCCGCCGCCAACGCUGCCAAGAGCCGAUGGAGCUUCAUAGGGUCAGUGGCGCUUCUCCCUCUGCUUCUUUUGUUCUGAUAAUUGUAGCCAUCUCCCUGUAUUGGGUUUCGUCUUCUGUAUGUAUCUACUGUGUGAUGAACCGGAAGAGAGGAUUUGAUGCUUCGAAUCCAAGAAUUUGGAUGGAUUGGUGUGUGAUGAUGGGGAAGCGUAGUGGAGAUUAGGGGGCUGAUUUGGUCUUCUCAGUUUUGAUUUGAAUCUAUUGGAUGCAUACAGAGGGUGGGAGAGUUUGAGCGUGAGGGAAGAUGGUGCUUCUUGUGCCCGAGUUGAAGAUGAUGGGCGAAUCAAAUUCCUUAUGUUUAAUGGAUGAAAUUGGCUCCAGUAGGGUGUCGAACGAAAUUUCAAUUUGCAUUUUGAGAAGUUUCGUUCUUGUUUCCCAGUUUACGUUUUGAG
RNAcentral lists this long non-coding RNA (1216 nucleotides) under Vigna radiata. RNAcentral describes it as "long non-coding RNA (VRAD_LNC000297)". Lineage: Eukaryota; Viridiplantae; Streptophyta; Magnoliopsida; Fabales; Fabaceae. The record is from RNAcentral.